Molecule: ribosomal RNA, 468 nt
Filed under: uncultured bacterium
Lineage: Bacteria
Description: partial 16S ribosomal RNA
Rfam family: Bacterial small subunit ribosomal RNA
Source: RNAcentral
GAUGAACGCUGGCGGCGUGCUUAACACAUGCAAGUCGAACGGAAAGGCCAGUGCUUGCACUGGUACUCGAGUGGCGAACGGGUGAGUAACACGUGGGUGAUCUGCCCUGCACUUCGGGAUAAGCCUGGGGAACUGGGUCUAAUACCGGAUAGGACAAUGGUUUGGAUGCCGUUGUGGAAAGUUUUUUCGGUGUGGGAUGAGCUCGCGGCCUAUCAGCUUGUUGGUGGGGUAAUGGCCUACCAAGGCGUCGACGGGUAGCCGGCCUGAGAGGGUGUACGGCCACAUUGGGACUGAGAGACGGCCCAGACUCCGACGGGAGGCAGCAGUGGGGAAUAUUGCACAAUGGGCGCAAGCCUGAUGCAGCGACGCCGCGUGGGGGAUGACGGCCUUCGGGUUGUAAACUCCUUUCGCUAGGGACGAAGCGUAUUUGUGACGGUACCUGGAGAAGAAGCACCGGCUAACUACGUG